AGAGCGGCGGAUGUCGGGAAGUUGGUCAAACUUGAUCAUUUAGAGGAAGUAAAAGUCGUAACAAGGUUUCCGUAGGUGAACCUGCGGAAGGAUCAUUACCGAUACAAAGAAUCCAAAAAGGUUANNNUAACCUUUGUGAACUGUACACAACCUUUAGGGGUCGGNNNNNGUGCCGUUAAAUGNGUCGUUCGUCCGUUGAUUCGGCGUUCGGCCAGCCCCGCCUUCUGCCAUGGUGGACGCACUUGAAUGUACCAGUCUGAAAGUGAAACACGAACUUGCUGCCUGUCCUGCCAGGUAGUAGAGCAAAUGUGGCAAACGAAAACGAGAGACAACUUUUAACGGUGGAUCUCUUGGCUCACGUAUCGAUGAAGAACGCAGCCAGCUGCGAUAAGUAGUGUGAAUUGCAGAAUUCAGUGAAUCAUUGAAUCUUUGAACGCAAAUGGCGCUCUUGGGUUCUCCCAGGAGCAUGUCUGUCUGAGUGUCGGAUAUUAUCUAACGCACUUGAGUGUGCGGAAUUGAGGCGUCACGGUGGAAGUUAGCUCGCCGUGUCCCUUGAAGGAAAGCGUGCUCGACUCGCAUCGUGCGGUUUCAAACUCGCACUCCGCAUGCGAAGGCUAAAACUACUUUGUCCUUCGUCGGGGUGCGGGUCCGCAAAAAAGGCGAGUCGGCCGACAAAGGUG
This 680-nucleotide unclassified non-coding RNA is filed under the name Tubastraea micranthus (black turret coral). RNAcentral's name for it is "sequence contains ITS1, 5.8S rRNA gene and ITS2". The stretch from base 331 to 484 matches the Rfam family "5.8S ribosomal RNA". Lineage: Eukaryota; Metazoa; Cnidaria; Anthozoa; Scleractinia; Dendrophylliidae. The record is from RNAcentral.